RNAcentral lists this long non-coding RNA (1397 nucleotides) under Chloebia gouldiae (Gouldian finch). RNAcentral describes it as "Erythrura gouldiae (Gouldian finch) lncRNA (ENSEGOG00005011549.1)". The record is from RNAcentral. Lineage: Eukaryota; Metazoa; Chordata; Aves; Passeriformes; Passeridae.
UCACGUGACACUCAGGUGACACAGGUGACCCCCUCAGGUGACACUCAGGUGACACCCACAGGUGACACAGGUGACACUCAGGUGACACAGGUGACACUCAGGUGACACAGGUGACCCCCUCAGGUGACACUCAGGUGACACAGGUGACACUCAGGUGACACAGGUGACCCCCUCAGGUGACACUCAGGUGACACCCACAGGUGACACAGGUGACCCCCUCAGGUGACACAGGUGACACUCAGGUGACACAGGUGUGACACAGGUGACACACAGGUGACACAGGUGACCCCCACAGGUGACACAGGUGACACUCAUGUGACACAGGUGACACAGGUGACACAGGUGACCCCCACAGGUGACACAGGUGACCCCCACAGGUGACACAGGUGACACUCAGGUGACACUCAGGUGACACAGGUGACCCACCUGGGCCACGCCUUUAAAUAGUUGCCAAUAAAUACUGUACAGAAAUAGCCAAAUAUACACAGGGGGCGGGGCCGGGGGUCCCAACGGGGUCCCGGGGGGUCCCGGGUGACUUUGGGGGGGUCCCAGAGAGGUCCCGGGGAGUCCCAGGGGGGUCCUGGGUGACUUUGGGGGGGUCCCAGGGGGGUCCUGGGUGACUUUGGGGUCCUGGGUGGUCCCAGAAGGGUUCCGGGUGACUUUGGGGGGUCCAGGGGGGUCUCAGAGAGGUCCUGGGGAUGUCCUUGGGGGGAUCCCGGGUGACUUUGGGGGGUCCCGGGGUGUCCCAGGUGACUUUGGGGGUCGCAGGGGUGGUCCCAGGUGACUUUGGGGUGUCCUGGGGGGGUCCCAGAGAGGUCCCAGGGUGGUCCCAGGUGACUUUGGGGUGUCCAGAGGGGUCCCAAAGGGGUCCCAGGUGAUUUUGGGGGGUCCUGGGUGGUCCCAGGGGUGUCCCAGGUGAUUCUGGGGGGUCCUGGGUGGUCCCGGGGGGUCCCGGGGGGUUCUACCCCCUCGAUUCCAGCGACCUGCGGGGUGAAAUUGGGGUGGGGUCAGCGGGGUCAGGGGGCGGUUCAGGAUUUUGGGGUUUGAGAUUUUGGGACUCAGGGAUUUGGGGAUUCAGGGAUUUGGGGAUUGAGGGAUUUGGGGAUUGAGGGAUUUGGGAAUUCUGGGAUUUGGGAAUUCUGGGAUUUGGGCACUCAGGGAUUUGGGGAUUCGGGGAUUUGGGGAUUCGGGGAUUUUGGAAUUCAGGGAUUUGGGAAUUCUGGGAUUUGGGGACUUGGGGAUUUGGGACUCAGGGAUUUGGGGAUUGAGGGAUUUGGGAUUCAGGGAUUUGGGGACUGAUGGAUUUUGGGAUUCAGGGAUUUGGGCACUCGGGGAUUUGGGGACUUGGGGAUUUGGGGAUUGAGGAAUUUUGGGGAUUCAGGGAUUUGGGGACUCAG